GACGAACGCUGGCGGCGUGCUUAACACAUGCAAGUCGAACGGAAAGGCCCUGCUUUUGUGGGGUGCUCGAGUGGCGAACGGGUGAGUAACACGUGAGUAACCUGCCCUUGACUUUGGGAUAACUUCAGGAAACUGGGGCUAAUACCGGCUAGGAGCUCCUGCUGCAUGGUGGGGGUUGGAAAGUUUCGGCGGUUGGGGAUGGAAUCGCGGCGUAUCAGCUUGUUGGUGGGGUAGUGGCUUACCAAGGCUUUGACGGGUAGCCGGCCUGAGAGGGUGACCGGCCACAUUGGGACUGAGAUACGGCCCAGCCUCCUACGGGAGGCAGCAGUGGGGAAUAGUGCACAAUGGGCGGAAGCCUGAUGCAGCAACGCCGCGUGCGGGAUGACGGCCUUCGGGUUGUAAACCGCUUUCGCCUGUGACGAAGCGUGAGUGACGGUAAUGGGUAAAGAAGCACCGGCUAACUACGUG
Molecule: ribosomal RNA, 468 nt
Filed under: uncultured bacterium
Lineage: Bacteria
Description: partial 16S ribosomal RNA
Rfam family: Bacterial small subunit ribosomal RNA
Source: RNAcentral